GACGAACGCUGGCGGCGUGCUUAACACAUGCAAGUCGAGCGGAAAGGCCCUUUUGGGGGUACUCGAGCGGCGAACGGGUGAGUAACACGUGAGUAAUCUGCCCUUCACUUGGGGAUAACUCCGAGAAAUCGGUGCUAAUACCCGAUAUGACACGCGCCUGCAUGGGUGUGUGUGGAAAGUUUUUUCGGUGGGGGAUGUGCUCGCGGCCUAUCAGCUUGUUGGUGGGGUAGUGGCCUACCAAGGCUUCGACGGGUAGCCGGCCUGAGAGGGUGGCCGGCCACACUGGGACGGAGACACGGCCCAGACUCCUACGGGAGGCAGCAGUGGGGAAUAUUGGACAAUGGGCGGAAGCCUGAUCCAGCAACGCCGCGUGAGGGAUGACGGCCUUCGGGUUGUAAACCUCUUUCAGCACCGACGAAGUUGUGCCUUUUUGGGUGUGGUGACGGUAGGUGCAGAAGAAGGACCGGCCAACUACGUGCCAGCCGCCGCAGUAA
This 494-nucleotide ribosomal RNA is filed under the name uncultured bacterium. RNAcentral describes it as "partial 16S ribosomal RNA". It matches the Rfam family "Bacterial small subunit ribosomal RNA", at positions 28 to 523 of the family's 1533-position model. The record is from RNAcentral.